Molecule: ribosomal RNA, 451 nt
Filed under: uncultured bacterium
Lineage: Bacteria
Description: bacterial SSU rRNA
Rfam family: Bacterial small subunit ribosomal RNA
Source: RNAcentral
GUGAGGAAUUUUGCGCAAUGGCCGCAAGGCUGACGCAGCAACGCCGCGUGGGUGAUGAAGGCCUUCGGGUCGUAAAGCCCUGUCAGGUGGGAAGAACAGCAUUUUCUCGAAUAGGGGAGAUGUUUGACGGUACCACCAGAGGAAGCACCGGCUAACUCCGUGCCAGCAGCCGCGGUAAUACGGAGGGUGCGAGCGUUAUUCGGAAUUACUGGGCGUAAAGCGCGUGCAGGCGGGAAGGUAAGUCUGAUGUGAAAGCCCCGGGCUCAACCCGGGAAGUGCAUUGGAGACUGCUUUUCUUGAGUACUGGAGAGGAAGGGGGAAUUCCCGGUGUAGAGGUGAAAUUCGUAGAGAUCGGGAGGAAUACCAGUGGCGAAGGCGCCCUUCUGGACGGUUACUGACGCUGAGACGCGAAAGCGUGGGGAGCAAACAGGAUUAGAAACCCCAGUAGUCC